Molecule: ribosomal RNA, 451 nt
Filed under: uncultured bacterium
Lineage: Bacteria
Description: bacterial SSU rRNA
Rfam family: Bacterial small subunit ribosomal RNA
Source: RNAcentral
GUGGGGAAUUUUUCGCAAUGGGCGCAAGCCUGACGAAGCAACGCCGCGUGGAGGAUGAAGGCCUUCGGGUCGUAAACUCCUGUCGACUGGGACGAAAGUAGCUUGGCCUAAUACGCCAGGCUAUCGACUGUACCGGUGGAGGAAGCCACGGCUAACUCUGUGCCAGCAGCCGCGGUAAUACAGAGGUGGCAAGCGUUGUUCGGAAUUACUGGGCGUAAAGGGCGCGUAGGCGGUCUUGCAAGUCCCGUGUGAAAUCCCCCGGCUCAACUGGGGAAUGGCACGGGAAACUGCUUGGCUUGAGUUCGGGAGAGGGAAGCGGAAUUCCGGGUGUAGCGGUGAAAUGCGUAGAUAUCCGGAGGAACACCGGUGGCGAAGGCGGCUUCCUGGACCGACACUGACGCUAAGGCGCGAAAGCUAGGGGAGCAAACGGGAUUAGAUACCCUGGUAGUCC